UCCCUCCCCUCGGCUCGGUCCGCAGCUCCCGCUAUGGCUGCGCUGCGGAGGCUCCUGUGGCCGCCGCCUCGGCUGUCGCCGACGCUCGCCCCUCAGCAGCCCUUCCUCUCGCCGUGGGGACGGCCUGCGGGGACCGCUCCGGGGAUGUCGGGCCGGCCCUUCUCCUGCCGGGAGGAGGACGAGGGGGCCGUAGCGGAGGCAGCGGCGUGGCGGCGGCGGCGCUGGGGCGAGCUGAGCAUCGCGGCGGCAGCGGGCGGGGGGCUCGUCGGCCUUGUGUGCUACCAACUGUACGGGGACCCCAGAGCCGACCCCUCGGAGCGAGCGGUCCCAGAACUCGAGGAGCCGCCCCGCGGCAGGGGGCUGCUGCCCAUCCCGGUGGCUGCUGCCAAGGAGACGGUUGCUGCUGGCAGAGCUGUUACUGAAGACUUGGACCUCUAUGCUACAUCUCGAGAGAGACGCUUUCGUUUAUUUGCAUCUAUAGAAUGUGAAGGACAGUUAUUCAUGACUCCAUAUGAUUUUAUUUUGGCUGUUACAACAGAUGAGCCCAAAUUUGCUAAAACGUGGAAGUCACUUUCUAAACAGGAAUUAAGUCAGAUGCUCUCAGAAACUCCACCAGUUUGGAAGGGAUCAUCAAAGCUUUUUCGAAAUCUUAAAGAAAGGGGUGUGAUUUCUUACACAGAAUAUCUUUUUCUUUUAUGUAUUUUAACAAAGCCCCAUGCAGGUUUUAGAAUAGCUUUCAACAUGUUUGACACCGAUGGCAAUGAGAUGGUGGAUAAAAAAGAAUUUUUGGUGCUUCAGGAGAUAUUCAGGAAAAAAAAUGAAAAGAGAGAAACUAAAGGAGAUGAAGAAAAACGUGCGAUGCUGCGUCUUCAACUUUAUGGAUACCAUUCUCCUACUAAUAGUGUACUUAAAACAGAUGCCGAGGAACUUGUCUCCAGGAGCUACUGGGAUACCCUGAGACGCAGCACAAGCCAGGCGCUCUUCUCCGACCUUGCAGAGCGUGCUGAUGACAUCACAAGCUUAGUAGCAGACACUACACUUCUGGUCCACUUUUUUGGAAAGAAAGGAAAAGCUGAGCUCAACUUUGAAGAUUUUUAUAGAUUUAUGGAUAAUCUACAAACAGAAGUUCUAGAAAUAGAAUUUCUUUCCUACUCUAAUGGAAUGAGUACUAUCAGUGAAGAAGAUUUUGCCCAUAUUCUUCUACGGUAUACUAAUGUGGAAAAUACAUCAGUAUUUUUGGAAAAUGUGCGCUACAGUAUACCUGAAGAGAAGGGUAUCACAUUUGAUGAAUUCAGGUCAUUUUUCCAGUUUCUAAACAACUUAGAAGACUUUGCAAUAGCUCUCAAUAUGUAUAACUUUGCAAGUCGUUCUAUAGGACAAGAUGAAUUUAAACGUGCUGUAUACGUAGCUACUGGACUGAAACUUUCACCACAUUUGGUGAACACUGUCUUCAAGAUUUUUGAUGUUGACAAAGAUGACCAAUUAAGUUAUAAAGAAUUUAUUGGGAUUAUGAAAGACAGACUCCAUAGAGGGUUCCGGGGCUAUAAAGCAGUGCAGAAGUAUCCGACCUUCAAAUCCUGCCUGAAAAAAGAACUUCACAGCAGAUAAUCCAUCCUCGCAGGAAGGAAGCAGAAGCAUGAAGCUCACUCAUAUCUCCUCAGAGUCAGGAAGCAGAGAGCAGUCAGAGCAUCCUGCCACUUACUUCACUGUCUCCGUUUAUAUUGUUCAAAAUUCCAGCCAGAGAGCGGUCAGUUAUCCACCUCACAUUAUGCAACCAGUAUAACUCCCACAAGCAAGUCCAGAGGCCUGUCUCCCAGAUCCUCCUAAACACGAAUUGAAGGAUUAUGAUCUAUGUGACCAGGCAAGGAGCAGGAUUUUGAGUGGAUCCAAAUGUAAGGUCAGAGCAUGCAGAAAAUGAAGGGAACGUGAGAUGCUAUGAAAUUUACAUUUUUGACAAACAGAGGAAAACUGCAUCUUCUAAUCACAAGCAUUAGCCAGGGUUGAGCCUGAGCACCGCCAGAGAAAACUUGCUGCAAACACUAAAUAUAAUCAGCUGAGCUUUCAGAGCAGUGGUUGACUGCCUUGAACUUUUUCAUUCCCUACACAUGGGUAGUCCCAAUGACUAUCUGAGAAUAUUUAGAUUGUUUAUUUAUUUACUACAAAUGUCCUUUAUUUCAGAAUACUUUAUGAAUGAUAGAAUAUAGAUGGAAACACAUUUUCUUCAUGUUUGCACUGUGAGCGUGUUUUCAUACAGUGAAUAUUGCUUCAGACUUGUCCUGGACCUUAAAUUGUUAGUAAGUCUCUGUUAUUUAUCUUGUAUUUAAUUUUACUGAAGUAACUUCAGAAAACAAGUGAAAAUUUACUAAGCAGUAGGAUGGUUUACAUUGUACUUUCAGCUUUUAAAAGUACUUAUGUAAUGUACAUUGUUGGAUUUAUGUAAAUUUUUGUUUGUUUUUGCUGUUCUUUGUGUUUUGUUUUUUGUACCAAAGCCAAAAGAGAUUCAGGUAUUUUAUUUUAACAGACACUUAGAUUUUUUUUGUUUUAAGAAAGCACAGCAGUCAUGUGCUGAUGUAAGCAAGAGCAGUGGCAGUAGAAAUCAUCAUCCUGCGCUCCUAGUUGCAGGUGUGACAUACAGAAAUAAGAACAGUGACAUAUUGGAUAUUGUUAACAUAUGUCUAUAGCAUCAAAACUAAUAUAAAUGGCCUAGAAGGUUGAUGUAUAUUUAUUUAAUAGGUAGAAAAUAGUUUUGUACCUUGAAAAAAAGGACCACAUGCAAAAUUGAUCCAGUCAGUAGUGAUGAAUCACUUAUAUGUAACCCAUUAUUAUUGAAAUAAUAUGUCUUAAAAGAGAAAAUAAAACUUUCUCUUGAAAACCCCACUUGAAAGACCAGCCAGCAUGGGUCACAACUCAGUGUCUGCCUGGGCUGUCGUGCAAGCUCAAGCCAUCUCAGCAACUUAGAAGAACCCUGCCAAUGAUAAAAGUGCUGGGAAGUAAGUAGCUUAAUGUAGAGGGUCUGCCUGCCUGCCGUGCAUGAGGCCUUAGGGUUAGUCCCCAGCUCUGGAAAAGAAAGGACAGGCAGGGGAAGGGAAGGGAAGGGAAAGAAAGAAGUAGAAAAAGAAAAAAGAAAUCCUAGAUUUUCACAUUGAAAACUAAUUUUAGAAUAUUUAAUAGAACUUUGGCUACCUGAUAAAAUUGGUUUAUACAAAGGUACUAUAAAAUAAUGUAGUGAGUUUAAGUUAAUAUAUUUAUGUAUUGCAUGUCAAAAGAUUAAUAGAUUUGUUUAUCUUCUUUUGUAAGAUGUGUGUAGUAUAAAUUGCAUACACUCCAACCAUUAUUUGCUUUUGCAUAGGAAAAUAGGAAACACUGGCUUUAUUUUAAGUUAUUGAAUGUGAAAUUGAUCUGCAUCAGCCUAUUUGUAAACUGUUUGUUUUGGUAUUAUUAGUAUUGAUUAUGUUUUUAGACUUUCCCACAUUCUUUGUCUAUUAUUAUUUAUUAUACCAAUAAAGAAAUAGAAAUGUGCUAAUGCAA
Molecule: RNA transcript, 3528 nt
Organism: Mastomys coucha (southern multimammate mouse)
Lineage: Eukaryota; Metazoa; Chordata; Mammalia; Rodentia; Muridae
Gene: Micu3
Gene name: mitochondrial calcium uptake family member 3
Exons: 16
Source: RefSeq, a predicted model, not a curated record